GGGCCUGCGUCCGAUUAGCUAGUUGGUGGGGUAACGGCCUACCAAGGCACCGAUCGGUAGCUGGUCUGAGAGGAUGAUCAGCCAGACUGGGACUGGGACACGGCCCAGACUCCUACGGGAGGCAGCAGUUAGGAAUUUUGGGCAAUGGCCGCAAGGCUGACCCAGCAACGCCGCGUGGGGGAUGAAGGCUCUCGGGUUGUAAACCCCUUUUCCCAGGGACGAUAGUGACGGUACCUGGGGAAUAAGCCCCGGCUAACUACGUGCCAGCAGCCGCGGUAAUACGUAGGGGGCGAGCGUUGUCCGGAUUCAUUGGGCGUAAAGCGCGUGCAGGCGGCUUGGUAAGUCGGCCGUGAAAGCGCCAGGCUUAACCUGGCGAGGUCGGGCGAGACUGCUAAGCUCGAGGCCGGUAGAGGGCGGUGGAAUUCCGGGUGUAGUGGUGGAAUGCGUAGAGAUCCGGAGGAACACCAGUGGCGAAGGCGGCCGCCUGGGCCGGUCCUGACGCUGAGACGCGAAAGCGUGGGGAGCAAUCCGGAUUAGAUACCCGGGUAGUCCACGCCGUAAACGAUGGGCACUAGGUGUCGGGGGUAUCGACCCCUCCCGGUGCCGGAGCUAACGCAAUAAGUGCCCCGCCUGGGGAGUACGGCCGCAAGGCUAAAACUCAAAGGAAUUGACGG
Molecule: ribosomal RNA, 674 nt
Filed under: uncultured bacterium
Lineage: Bacteria
Description: bacterial SSU rRNA
Rfam family: Bacterial small subunit ribosomal RNA
Source: RNAcentral